This 9188-nucleotide long non-coding RNA is filed under the name Gossypium barbadense (sea-island cotton). Its description in RNAcentral is "long non-coding RNA (GBAR_LNC012481)". The stretch from base 3890 to 3996 matches the Rfam family "Plant small nucleolar RNA R71". The record is from RNAcentral. Lineage: Eukaryota; Viridiplantae; Streptophyta; Magnoliopsida; Malvales; Malvaceae.
UUCAUUACGCUAUAAAAAGCCUAUCUAGCUUCGUCAUUCUGAUUACUAGCAAUAGGUUGAGAGUCCACCGGUGCUAUCCCUUGUGUGGGAGCAGGCGCUACACUCUCAAGAUCAUCAGCUACAGCUCGGUUGGGAUCGGGAUCCAUUACUAUAAACAAACACAUUUUUAACUGUCAUAAAUCACCACACUAUCAAAUAGACACAUAAUGGCAAGUAUAGCUAGACCCGAACGUAUUACGGUAGUCCUAGAAUUGACUAAACCGUAGCUCUGAUACCAAUAAAAUUGUAACGCCCCGUACCCGAGACCGUUGCCGGAGUCGAACACGAGGUGUUAACGGACUUAAUUCAUUUAUUUACACAGUUCAUUUUAAAAUUUUCAGAGAAGCUGGCUAACUGCAUCACAUCACCUCAAAAAUCAUAUCUCGAGUUCCAAAAUCGAAAACUGAUUCCAUAAAUUUUUCCUGAAACUACACUCAUAUAUCCAUCUAAACAUUGUUUUCUAGAAUUUUUGGUCGUGCCAAUUGGUACAGUUUAUUAGUUAAAGUCUCCCUUGUUUCAGGGUUCGACUCCUCUAACCUUCAUGCAUUACGACUUAGAUAUCUCCCUGUACAGGGCUUCAAUACAUAUGCCGUUUGUUUCUAAUGAAACUAGACUCAAAAAGGAAUCUGUACAUAUAAAGCAUGACUUCUAAUUAUUUCUGGUUAAUUUAUGGUAAAUUUCCAAAUUCAGAACAGGGGAUCCAGUAACCGUUCUGGCCCUGUUUCACAAAAACUUAAACAUCUCAUAAAAUACGGCUCAUAUGGUCAUUUUGCUUCUUCCAUAUGCAAAUAGACUCAUCAAGGUUCAGUUACAUAAUUUAUUCAUUAUUUAAUUACAUUCCUACUAUUUUUAGUGAAUUUUCAAACUCACAUCACUGCUGCUGUCAGCAUCUAUUUUAAGGUAAAUUUCACCUAUUUCAUAGUUUCCAUGAUUCAACUAGCCAUUUGACAUACAUAGCACCAAAUAUGAUCGUGAUUAACCAUUCCAAUGGCUAAUCAUUGCCAAGCAUUUCCACACCUCUCAAUAACCAUAUAUAUACAAAAUGAUUUUAAUACUAUGCUCAAAAUAUUUAAGCCAUUUUCGCAUGGCUAUCCGAAUAUAUACACAUUACCAAAGGUACUUGAUUAACAACAAAGUUUAGUCCUAUACAUGCCAUUAUCAACGUUUAACUAAAAGAGGACCAAAAGGGCUUAGAUAGUGUGGACGACUUCGACUUCGACAAUCCCGAGUCUGAUAGCUGACGAACAAAAAUCUAUAAAACAAAGAAUUAAAGAAACGGAAUAAGCAUUUAAUGCUUAGUAAGUUUUGAGUAACGAAAUUAUUUACGACUAAAGUAUAGCGUUCAUAUGACUAAAUGAAUAAUUUCAUAUAUGCACAUUCUCAAAAUCAUAAUUUCUUCACGCUUCAACCAAUAUAUUCAUACACAGGGUAUCAAACCUAACUAGAGGUCGGAAGCUCGUUAAUCAAUUGAGCGAGUACUAUUUGAAAGGAAUCAACCUUUCCGAAGCAUAUACGAAACAUACCUUAUCGUUUGUAUUUUAUGAGCAUAUUAAUUGAAAUUAUUACAGCAAGAUCGCUCGCUUCCAAACCCAAGUAUCUUCGGGAUUUAGCCGGAUAUAGUAACUCGCACAAAUGCCUUCGGGUCUUAGCCCGGAUAUAAUCACUAGCAUGAAUGCCUUCGGGACUUAGCCCGGAUAUAGUCACUAGCACAAAUGCCUUCGGGACUUAGCCCGGAUAUAGUAACUUGCACAAAUGCCUUCGGGACUUAGCCUGGAUAUCAUCCGAAUAAUCAAGCACAUAUACCAAUAAAUCAUGACACAUCCAUAUUUCAUUAUCAUGACUAGAAUUCAAACACAAGACGCUUAUCAACCAUUAUCAUUUUCGGCUCAAUAGCCACAUACAAAGAGCAUGAUUUUGAUUUGCUUUAUAACAUGAUCUCUAUACACAUUCGGCUACCCGUCAUAGGUAUAAACUAAUCACCUCAAUAUACAAUUCAAGUAGAAUCAUUAUAUCACCGUUUAUUUGUUAUGCUUAUAUGUCAUGACUUAAUCAAAUCAUAAACUAAGUUUCAUUACUCGAAAACAUACCUCGGAUGUUGUCGAACGAUUUCAACGGCUAUUCGACCACUUUUUCCUUUCCCUUAUCCAACUUUGAUCCUCUAAGCUCUUGAGCUAAAUCAAACAAUUUACUUCCCAAUCAAACACAAUCAUACGACAUCCAUAUACAUUUUAGAACCAUUCUUAACAUACUUACUACUCAUUUACAAAACAAAAUACUCAUAUCACAUUUGUAGAACUACAAGCCGAAUAUACCUAUACUUACCUUACUUAAACAUCAACCCUCAAUUUCUUUGACAUAGCACAUUCCCGAAAAUGAUAAGGCAAUAUAACAGCCUUUAAUCCAACUUAUAAUUCAUACAUAUCACAUUCCAAGCAUUCGCUCUAUUCUAUCACUUAACAUACAAACAUUACUCAAUAACUUUCUAGUUCAAAUUCGGAAAUUACACCAAUUCACUAGAUGAUUUAUUAUUAUUGUUCAUUUAUUCAAACUACUUACAAAUACCUUAAAAUAUCUCAAUCAACAACCAUUUUCUACCCGUCACGUUUACUCUACUUGAACCGAAUGCACAUAAAUUCCUUGGCCGAAACUCACUAAACACAAAUCAGCCAUAAUCUUGUAUUUAACUUGAGCAUAACCUUAUUUACCUUCCAAAAAUCAUAAAAAUAUCAGACUCUUAAUAUUUAUGUGCAAAGCCGAAUCUUAAAAUGAUCCAACCUCCAACUCAUUCAUUUCAAUCACUCACUUGGCAUUUGUUCAAUUCAUUAGACAAAUCUAUGUUUAGCCAUUGUACUCAUGAACAUUAGAAUUUAUCAUUUGACUAACUAAAACCCUUCUCUUCAACAAUUCUCCAUAAAACAUAAAAACCAUAACCUAAUCUCAUCCUUUAAUAACUAAAACCGAAUGCUCAAACCAUCACCAAGAUUUUCAUAAUUUUGACAUGGGUUAUGUAAGAAACUACCUAAUUAACUAGAAACAAGCUUAAAGUUUAAAGAAAAUCUAACACAAAUGACUAACCUCCCUUAAGCUCCAAAUGACCGAACCUCCUCUUCUUUCUUCCUUCAAUUCACGGCAAUGGAGGAGCAUGGAUGAAACAACUUUGUUUUCAUCACCCCUCCCUUUUCAUUACUUUAUUACCAACCUUUUAUUUUAUUAUUUUUAACUUAACACAUUAACACAAAAUGUUUAUAAUAUGUUUAACCCAUUGCAUGGCCGGCCACUACCUAAAGUUUUGGGUAAUUUGACAUGCAAGGACAAGCAUUUUCUAACAUGCAUCAAUAGGCCACUUUAACAUUUGCCUAGCACAUUUCUAAAUUUUCUCACACAAGUCCUAUUUAAUAAAAUUCACUUACAAUUAACAAAAUUCAAACAUGAAAUUUUCACACAUGCAUAUAUACAUAUAAUAAGCAUCAAAUAUGACGAUUAAUUAUUUUUAUGACUCGGUUUUGUGGUCCCGAAACCACUUUCUGACUAGCGUCACAUUUGGGCUGUCACACACUACAUUAUUGGGUGAACUUGUGAAGAACUAAGAAAACCAUCAAUUUUCUUAUUCAAGAGUUCUACCUGAUUAGAGAGCAUGGUGACCUAAUCGACGUUAUAAACACUGGCUAUUUUCGUUGGCUUUGUCCUCAUGACUUGCCACUGAUAGUUAUUCAAUGACAUCUCCUCUAUAAAUUCAUAGGCAUCUUCAGGUGUUUUAUUAUUGAUGGUUCUGCCAGAAGCUGGGUCAACCAUUUGUCGAGUCGAAGAAUUCAGGCCAUUAUGAAAAGUUUGAACCUGUAGCCAGAGUGGUAACCCAUGGUGAGGGCAUCUUCGCAAAAGGUCCUUAUAUCUCUCCCAUGCAUCGUAGAGUGUUUCUAAAUCCAUCUGCACAAAAGAAGAGAUAUCAUUACGUAAUUUAGUUGUUUUAGCCGGCAGAAAAUAUUUUAAUAAGAACUUUUCGGUCAUUUGUUCUCAAAUAGUGAUUGACCCCCACGGUAACGAAUUCAACCAAUGUUUAGCUUUAUUUCUCAAUGAAAAAGGGAAUAACUAAAGGCGAAUGGCAUCAUUAGAAAUGCCAUUAAUUUUAAAUGUGUCACAUAGUUCUAAAAAGUUUGCUAAGUGAGCGUUGGGAUCUUCCUCCUACAAACCAUCAAAUUGAACAAAUUGUUGUAUCAUUUGAAUUGUGUUAGGUUUCAGUUCAAAAUUAUUUGCAGCUACAGUAUGUCUAACUAUGCUUGAUUCAGUUCCUAUUAAAGAAGGUUUAGCAUAAUCAUACAUAGUGUGCGGAGCAGGAUUUUGAUUAACAGCAAUCGCAGGAGGUAGCAGAUUUUCUUGGUUUUCAGCCAUCUCCUCGGUGGUGGUUGAAGUAUCUUCCUCUUGCUCUUCUGUGUAACGUAAGCUUCGCCUUAUUUCUCUUCGGUUUUUGUAAACUGUGCAAUCAAUCUCACUAUGAAUAGUAAUGGUCAUGACGGGUUUCUCCUGGUCAUAAACUAGAAAAACUUGUUAGAAGAAAAUAAAUGAAGAGUUAGAAAAUAAAAUAAAAAUUUAAAUUGCAAUAAAAGUAAAAUGGCUAAAGUAAUAAAAAUCGAGUGUUCCUAAUAUCUUAGCUCUCUGGCAACGGCGCCAAAAACUUGAUACGUGAUAUUCGUGACAGGUUUUAAAUAUUUAUAAUGAAUCGUUCUUGAAACUAACUAUUAUCACGAUGAAGGCAAGUGUACCUAUCGAACAGUAGUAUAGCUUUAGCAAGACCAGAUUAUCAAACCCAAAAGAACUAAAAGUACUAGUAUCAACUUUCUUUUUAUUAUCUAGCCUAAAAAAAUAAAAGGGUUUUGUUUAUCUAACUAAUUAAUAAAACUAAGAAAUCAUAGAAAAGAAAUUUGGGGAAAAUAAUUUUUUGAAAAACUCAAUUGAUUGAGACAAUACCUAAGGAAAAAUCCACCUAAACUUCACUUGUUAUUUGACUCUGAAUCGGACGAUUUAUUCAUUCAACUUGUUCCGUAGAGAUCCCUAAGUUAUAUUAUUAUCUCUCUCGAGACUAACAACGUCUAACCCUAGAUUGAAUAAUUGAAAUCUCUUUCUAAUUAACGCCCUAGGGUUGCAUUAACUCGAUCUAUGGAUCCCCUUAUUAGGUUUCACCCUAAUUCGGUAAAAUCUUGUCACCCUAUCUCUAGCUCCGCUUAAUUAUGACAAAUUUAAUCUUAGAUAGGGUCUAUUCCUCAUCUAAAUAAGAGCUUUAACUUGAAUCAAUAUCCUAGAAUAUCAAAACAAGAAUUAAGAACACAUAAUUAAGAACAAGUCAAAUAUUUAUUAUACAAUUCAGAUAAUAAUAACAAGAUCCGUCUUAGGUUUCAUUCCCCUUAGGUAUUUAGGGGUUUUAGUUCAUACUAAUGAAAGAAAACAUCUCAAAAGAAUAAAAAUAACAAAACAUAAGAAAACCCAAAACUCAUGAGGGAAUUUGAAGGGAGAUCUUCAGUCUUGAUGGUGAAUCUGGCUUCUAAGAUGGUUCGAUCGGCUUUUCUUGAGCAAUACCUUGCUUCCUCCCGUGCGUCCCCCCUCUUCUCCUCUUCUAGGGUGUAUUUAUAGGCUUUGGAAUGCCUAAGAGCCCUCAAAAGUGGCCUUUUCCGAAUAGGGCUCUACUUGGGCUUGAUAGGGACACGCCCUUGUGCGAUUACUUUAGGCCGUGGUCAAGCCUAUUAAAUAGGCAUGGGCGUGUGGUCUACCUAUGUGGGUCGUGCUUCGAUUAUGCCAAAUUGACACGGCCGUGUGGUCUGCCCGUGUGAGGAAGUCCAGGCCGUGUUGAUUUCGUAUGUUGGCCCAUUUUCUCCAUUUUUGGCCCGUUUCUCAUUCCUUUCACUCUCCUAUGUUCACCUAAGUAUAAAACAUGAAAUUAAGGAAUUAGGAGCAUCGAAUUCACCAAAUCUAAGGAAAAAUCAUCCAUAAAAUACGCUAAGCAUGGGAUAUAAAUAUGUAUAAAUUACGGUUUAUCAAUCACACUCAGGUUUUUCAUUCUUUGUAUUAUCAACACUGGAAACAGACGUAGCUGGAGCUUUAAAGCUUGAUUGCUAUCUAGCACGAUCUCUAUUUGAAUAUUCGACACUAGCCAUUGAAUGGCUAUUAUCAUCUCUGAAUUUCUUUGAUCCAGAUUGAAAUGACUUGUCCGAUGAUCUCUUUUGUACCUCUCUAGCUUCAAAAUCAGCUUUUCUUUUCUCUUUCCCGAGAUCGUCAGCUUUACAUGCUCGUUCAACAAGCACAACAAAUUCUUUGAUUUCUAGAAUCCCAACUAACAGACAAAUAUCUUCGUUUAAGCCAUCCCCGAAUCUUUUGCACAUUAUUGCUUCCGUAGAUACACAUUUAUGAGCAUACUAACUUAAUCUUAUGAAUUCCCGUUCGUAUUCUAUGACAAACAUACAGUCUUGUUUAAGCUGAAGAAACUCUUUACGUUUCUAAUCGAUGAAUCUCUAACUGAUAUAUUUCUUCCAGAAUUCAGCUUGAAAGUGUAACAUCCUAAUUUUGGGCUUAGUCGUAACAGUGGUUUCAGGACCACAAAUUCGACGAGGAAAAUUUUAUUUUUAUUAUAUGGUUUACGAUUUCACGGAAUGAUUUCGUGAAAAUUUCAUUCAAAAAUUUCGACAUUUGGGCACUCAAUUUCGUCAAAAGGACUAAAUUGUAAAAAGUGCAAAAGUUGAGUUUUACAUGUUAGAAGUGUUUAAUUGUUAUGAGUUUUUAAAUAAAAGGUCCUUAAAUGGUAAUUAGACCAUUUUGAUGUUUUUGGACAAAAAUUGGACAUGGAUGGAAUUUUUUUGAAAGUUUAGUAGUAAGGGCAUUUUGGUCAUUUGUAUAUUAAAUGAAAUAAAAUGGGAAAAAUAACACAAAAUGGUCAUCUUCUCCAUAUGGAGGCCGAAAUUAGCAUGGGGGAAGCCAUGGCUAGGGUUUUCAAGCUUUCCAAGCUCAAUAGUAAGUCCAUUAUAGCCUCGUUUUUCAAGUUCUUUACGUUUUUGGAAUCCCGGUAACUUGAUUAAGCUUAUGCUAGCAAUAAUUCAACCUAGGGUUCAUAUUUGGAAAAAUACCCAUACGUGAAAUUUGUGUAUUUUGGUGUUUUAUGAUAGAAUAUAAGGUUUUAAAUUAUGUUAGACAACUUGUGCUACUCAGUUUUAAGUGAAAACGAGUAAAAAGGCUUAAUCGGUAAAAAUACCUAAUAGUCAUAAAUACAUGUUAGAGUGAGAAUUUGAUGUUGUAAUAGAAGGGAAAAAUGAUCAGCAUGUCAUAAAACAUAAGUAUAAGGGAUGAAGUUUAAUUCCCGAGCCUAGGGGCAAAAGUGUAAUUAUGCAAAAGUUUAGGGGUAAACUGGUAAUUUUGCCCAAGUUCGUAUUAAAGGCUGUUUUGAUGAAUGUAUGUAUUAAAUAAAUUAAUUUGGUAUUAUAGAUCAAGAGAAACGAGAUUUAAGUCGUGAUUGAGGGAAAAACAAAGUUUACAAGGAAUAGGCUCGAUUGCUAAUAUUUUGUAUCGAGGUAAGUUCGUAUGAUAAUAAUAAUGCGAUGUUAUGUUUGAAUUAUAUUUCUUACUAUUAUUGCAUAUAUUGUAUGAUUAAAUAUAUUGGAAAAGUUGAUGGAAUGGUGUUUAUGAUGUGGAAAUAUGACAUGAAAGAAUGUUACAUUCAAUGCAAGAAAAUGAUGAUACAUGACAAGUGAUAUAUGAAAUAUGUGAUUUAUGUUAUGUAAAUUCUUAAAAGCUGAUUUUGUAACACCCUGAAUUUGGGCCUAGAAGUUUUGGGCCUUGAGCAUGGGAGCGGUUGAAGGCAGCUUAUAAUAUUCUGUUGUGCAUGCAAAUUUCGUUAAUGAAGGCUUGUUUUAGUGGUUAAGUGUGUUGAGAAGUGUUGGAGAAGUCCUGGGUUUAAACCUGGACUCUAGCAAAAAAUUUGGUUUAAGGUGAAUCAAACCCUGGGUGUAGUAGGUAGGCCUUAAGAAUAUUGUUGGAGAAAUUGUGACACAAAAAACCUUAUGGCUUAGUGGCAAGUGGCGUGUGAAGCAUUUGAGGGGAGGCAUGGGUUCGAAUCCCAUGGCAAGCAAAGAGCAUUUAUUUUGCUAACAGGGGGCGGCAAGAGUUGGUGUUGAAUUUAAACUCUGAUGUUGGAGGGAUCCCACAUCGGGAAGCUAACAUAAGAGUGGAUGGGAAGCUGGCUUUAAAUAGAGAGAACCAUGAGGAGAGUAAAGGUACCUUUCUUGGCUGAUCCCUUUCGCUUUAUGGCGUGCUCGUUUGGGCUGGGCGUCGGCUAAGAGUGCUCGAAGCGUGGAUUAACUCCAGUCUCCAAUCAGGUGUGUAUUUAUCACUACUCUUGUUGUUGGAUGGCUACUUCGGGCCGCGAUGGACCGAAAGGGGCCAUGUGGGCCCAAUGGGCCUACGGGCCCAAUUGGAUAAGUUGUUUGAUUGUGUAGUAAAUAUUGGACUAGGCUAGGUGAAUCGCAUAUCUGUGGCUAGGUUUGGGCUAAAAGGGCCACACGAGUGUGUGGGCCCAUUUGGGCCGAGAAUAGGCUUUAGGCCCAUUCGUAUUGUUAUCCAUGUUUAGAAUACUUUAGUUUACCAAUUACUGAAAUGCCCUCGACUUGUAAAAUUACCAAAGUACUCUCGAUUUACAGAAUUACCAUUUUACCCUCAAUUUACAAAAUUAUCGUUUUACCCUCAAAUUUUAAAAUUACCGUUUUACCCUCGAAUGAAUGGAAAAACUGGUUAAGGAGUCGUUAUCAAUACGAUUUAGUUUAGAAUAGAUGGCUAAAAUUAGGACCAGGACAAUGGCGAAAUAGAGUCAAUCAACAUUAUCUGGCUCAAAAUAAACAUUUAACAAAAUGGGAUUCAGAUGAAAAAGAAAGAUUAAUUCAUUACGAAAAAAAAUGAUUUUCAAGCGAACUCAUUACUAACUCAAGAAUAUAAACUGAAUCAAGAACAAAAAUAUAAAAAAUCUAAUUUUAAAAAACACUAUGGAUAUGAUUUUUUAUCAUAUAAAUCUAUUAAUUAUCAAGAUAAGAGGGACCCGUAUGCUUAUGGAUCACCAUUCCAAGUAAAUAAGAGGGAAGAGAGUUCUUAUCAUUACAACAUGGAUAAACAAAAUUUUUUUA